UACGUAGGGUGCGAGCGUUAAUCGGAAUUACUGGGCGUAAAGCGUGCGCAGGCGGUUCGUUGUGUCUGCUGUGAAAGCCCCGGGCUCAACCUGGGAAUGGCAGUGGAAACUGGCGAGCUGGAGUGUGGCAGAGGGGGGUGGAAUUCCGCGUGUAGCAGAGAAAUGCGUAGAGAUGCGGAGGAACACCGAUGGCGAAGGCAGCCCCCUGGGCUGACACUGACGCUCAGGCACGAAAGCGUGGGGAGCAAACAGG
Molecule: ribosomal RNA, 253 nt
Filed under: uncultured bacterium
Lineage: Bacteria
Description: partial 16S ribosomal RNA
Rfam family: Bacterial small subunit ribosomal RNA
Source: RNAcentral